This 488-nucleotide ribosomal RNA is filed under the name Paenibacillaceae bacterium CL5.39. RNAcentral's name for it is "bacterial SSU rRNA". It matches the Rfam family "Bacterial small subunit ribosomal RNA", at positions 17 to 492 of the family's 1533-position model. The record is from RNAcentral. Lineage: Bacteria; Bacillati; Bacillota; Bacilli; Caryophanales; Paenibacillaceae.
CCCUGGCUCAGGACGAACGCUGGCGGCGUGCCUAAUACAUGCAAGUCGAGCGGAUCUUGUCCUUCGGGACAAGGUUAGCGGCGGACGGGUGAGUAACACGUGGGUAACCUGCCUGUAAGACUGGGAUAACAUUCGGAAACGAAUGCUAAUACCGGAUACGCAGCUUGGUCGCAUGACCGAGCUGGGAAAGAUGGAGCAAUCUAUCACUUAUAGAUGGACCCGCGGCGCAUUAGCUAGUUGGUGAGGUAACGGCUCACCAAGGCGACGAUGCGUAGCCGACCUGAGAGGGUGAUCGGCCACACUGGGACUGAGACACGGCCCAGACUCCUACGGGAGGCAGCAGUAGGGAAUCUUCCGCAAUGGACGAAAGUCUGACGGAGCAACGCCGCGUGAGUGAUGAAGGUUUUCGGAUCGUAAAGCUCUGUUGCCAGGGAAGAAUGCUUGGGAGAGUAACUGCUCCCAAGGUGACGGUACCUGAGAAGAAAGCC